RNAcentral lists this ribosomal RNA (406 nucleotides) under uncultured bacterium. RNAcentral's name for it is "partial 16S ribosomal RNA". It matches the Rfam family "Bacterial small subunit ribosomal RNA", at positions 29 to 526 of the family's 1533-position model. The record is from RNAcentral.
AUUGAACGCUGGCGGCAGGCCUAACACAUGCAAGUCGAACGAGUGGCGGACGGGUGAGUCAUGUCUGGGACACUGCCUGAUGGAGGGGGAUAACUACUGGAAACGGUAGCUAAUACCGCAUACCAUCGGAUGUGCCCAGAUGGGAUUAGCUAGUAGGUGGGGUAAAGGCUGACCUAGGAGACGAUCCCUAGCUGGUCUGAGAGGAUGACCGGCCACACGGGAACUGAGACACGGUCCAGACUCCGACGGGAGGCAGCAGUGGGGAAUAUUGCACAAUGGGCGCAAGCCUGAUGCAGCCACGCCGCGUGUAUGAAGAAGGCCUUCGGGUUGUAAAGUACUGUCAUCGGGGAGGCGUUACCCGCAGAAGAAGCAACGGCUAACUCCGUGCCAGCAGCCGCGGUAAUAC